GCGGUGGUCCCACCUGACCCCAUGCCGAACUCAGAAGUGAAACGCCGUAGCGCCGAUGGUAGUGUGGGGUCUCCCCAUGCGAGAGUAGGGAACUGCCAGGC
Molecule: ribosomal RNA, 101 nt
Filed under: Citrobacter koseri
Lineage: Bacteria; Pseudomonadati; Pseudomonadota; Gammaproteobacteria; Enterobacterales; Enterobacteriaceae
Also listed under: 130 other names
Source: RNAcentral